This is a non-coding RNA of Microcebus murinus (gray mouse lemur), 3061 nucleotides long. Lineage: Eukaryota; Metazoa; Chordata; Mammalia; Primates; Cheirogaleidae. The record is from RefSeq and is a predicted model, not a curated record.
CGGAAGUCCCGCCCUUGGACGGGUGAGGGGCGCCCCGAGGCCCUCCGAGCAACCCCCCGACCCCGUGGAUACGAUCCUCAGCCAAGCACCUCGCUGUUGCGCCUCUCAGAGAGAUGGGACUGCCCCGCAUUAACAUGGCCUCAAGGCGACCUGGUUUGGUCGUGCCCUCGAGCAAAAUGGCACCUUCUUGGCUUCGAUGCCAGUAUACAAUAUGGAGAAGGAAAUGGGCGUUUCAGGGAGAGCUAGAGCUAGGUGGUGGAGCUCUUGUUAGACCCUCCCACUUGUUUACUUCGUGGUGAGAGUGGUAACACUGCGCCUGCGCACUCUGGCCUGCCCGCUAGCGUCUUCGCCAUGUGACUUGAACCUUUGUGGUUAAAUUACCCCGUUCUGAAAGAUGGUUUCACCCACUUGUGCUCUACAACUGGUACGGGAGCUACCACUCUCCGGCCGUGGGGGGAGUGUCCUUUCCGGAAGUGACAACACGCUGACCCGGAAAAGGAGGAGGCCGGGGCAGUGGGGCUGUCGGCGGCGGCUAUGGAAGGUGCUGGCUACAGGGUGGUGUUUGAGAAGGGAGGAGUGUACCUGCAUACCAGUGCUAAGAAGUACCAGGACCCGGACUCCCUCAUUGCUGGUGUCAUCCGCGUCAUGGAAAAGGACAAUGACGUCCUCCUGCACUGGGCUCCUGUAGAGGAGGCUGGAGAUUCCACCCAAAUCCUCUUCUCCAAGAAGGACUCCAGUGGGGGUGACUCCUGUACCUCUGAGGAGGAGCCGACCUUUGACCCUGGCUAUGAACCCGACUGGGCUGUCAUCAGCACUGUUCGGGCACAACCCCGCCACUCAGAGCCCACGAGAGGCGCAGAGUCCAGCUCCCCCCGGGCCUCGUGGGCCUUCUCCGUGAGUCUGGGGGAGCUCAAGUCCAUCCGCCGUUCCAAGCCGGGCCUCAGCUGGGCCUACCUGGUCCUGGUGACCCAGGCUGGGGGCUCCCUGCCCGCCCUGCACUUCCACCGCGGGGGCACCCGCGCCCUGCUCCGUGUCCUCAGCCGCUACCUGCUGUUGGCCAGCUCCCCCCAGGACUCCCGCCUCUACCUUGUCUUCCCCCACGACUCCUCCGCCCUCUCCAACUCCUUCUACCACCUGCAGCUCUUUGACCAGGACAGCUCCAACGUGGUGUCCCGCUUCCUCCAGGACCCCUACUCCACCACCUUCAGCAGCUUCUCCCGAGUGACCAACUUCUUCCGGGGAGCCCUGCAGCCACACCCCGAGGGGGCCUCCCCUGACCUGCCCCUGCCACCCGAUGAUGAGCCUGAGCCAGGGUUCGAGGUCAUUUCCUGUGUGGAGCUGGGGCCUCGGCCGGCCGUGGAACGGACGCCUCCGGUCACAGAGGAGGAGUGGGCCCGCCACAUGGGCCCCGAGGGCCGCCUGCAGCAGGUCUCGGAGCUGAAGAGCCGGAUCUUCUCUGGGGGUCUGAGCCCCGGCCUGCGGCGCGAGGCCUGGAAAUUCCUCCUGGGGUACCUCAGCUGGGAGGGCUCAGCUGAGGAGCACAAGGCGCACAUGCGCAGGAAAACGGACGAGUAUUUCCGCAUGAAGCUGCAGUGGAAGUCUGUGAGCCCCGAGCAGGAGCGGAGGAACUCACUGCUGCACGGAUACCGCAGCCUCAUCGAGAGAGACGUGAGCCGCACUGACAGGACCAACAAGUUCUACGAGGGUCCAGAGAACCCAGGGCUGGGCCUGCUGAACGACAUCUUGCUCACGUACUGCAUGUACCACUUCGACCUGGGCUACGUCCAGGGCAUGAGUGACCUUCUCUCCCCGAUCCUCUACGUCAUUCAGAACGAGGUGGAUGCCUUCUGGUGUUUCUGCGGCUUCAUGGAGCUCGUGCAAGGGAACUUUGAAGAGAGUCAGGAGACCAUGAAGCGGCAACUUGGGCAACUUCUGCUGCUCCUGAGGGUGCUCGACCCCCCGCUCUGUGACUUCCUGGACUCCCAGGACUCCGGCUCCCUCUGCUUCUGCUUCCGGUGGCUGCUCAUCUGGUUCAAGAGGGAAUUCCCCUUCCUGGAUGUCCUUCGCCUAUGGGAGGUGCUGUGGACAGGGCUCCCUGGCCCCAAUCUGCACCUGCUGGUGGCCUGUGCCAUCCUGGACAUGGAGCGGGAUGCCCUCAUGCUGUCCGGCUUCGGCUCCAACGAGAUCCUUAAGCACGAGGCAGAGCGGGCGCCCGGGCGGCGGUGGUUGAGUGUGCCGCCUGGCGCCUGACCCGCCCCUCCCGCAGCACAUCAAUGAGCUGACCAUGAAGCUGAGUGUGGAGGACGUGCUGACGCGGGCCGAGGCCCUGUACCGGCAGCUGACCGCCUGCCCCGAGCUGCCCCACAACGUGCAGGAGGUCCUGGGUCUGGCGCCGCCUGCGGAGCCCCACAGCCCUUCACCCCCUGCCUCCCCACUGCCACUGUCACCCACCCGGGCCCCGUUGGCCCCCCCGCUCCCCGCAGACACAGACACAGCCCCGCAGCCUGACAGCAGCCUGGAGAUCCUGCCUGAGGAGGAGGAGGACCGGGCGGACUCCUAACCCUGCUGGGCACGUGACCCGCACGGGCACUUUAUCCUGUCCCCUGGGGGGCCAGGAGGGCCCUGGGAGGGGCGGGUGUGCUCCUGAUAAACUGAUUUCAUUAAACACACUUCUCACGUCCAGUUAGCCCCGUGUCCUUGGGGGAAGAGGCUGCCACUUUGGCUCCGACCUGGAUGGGGAAGGGGUAGUGGCUCAGGUCCCCUCUGACGGCUCCCCAGAGCUGAAGCCUGACCAGGUGGCCCCGAGCCAGCCAGUGAGACGCAGAAGGAGGCCCCUGGGGUGGGUGACGGGGCUCGGUUGAGGCGAGGCUCCCUCACCUGCCUGAAUUGUUGUUUUGGAGGAGUGACGAUGAGGCACUCAGAGCUGGGGCUGUCACUUAAGUGGCUGUGCCAGGACACAUCCCGGACAUAACUGAAAUGCAGGGGCCUGUGGAGCUGCACACUCUGGGGACCUUGCCUACCAGCUGCUGCUUAGUGAGAAAAAUAAACUCGUUUAACCAAU